This 236-nucleotide ribosomal RNA is filed under the name uncultured bacterium. RNAcentral describes it as "partial 16S ribosomal RNA". It matches the Rfam family "Bacterial small subunit ribosomal RNA", at positions 118 to 353 of the family's 1533-position model. The record is from RNAcentral.
UGAGCAAUCUGCCCUUCUCUUCGGAAUAAGCGUUGGAAACGACGUCUAAUGCCGAAUACGACCUCCUUUCGCAUGAUCGGAGGUGGAAAGCUCCGGCGGAGAAGGAUGAGCUCGCGGCCUAUCAGCUAGUUGGUGUGGGUAAUGGCCCACCAAGGCGACGACGGGUGGCCGGCCUGAGAGGGUGACCGGCCACACUGGGACUGAGAUACGGCCCAGACUCCGUACGGGAGGNAGCG